GCCGGCAUGGCUCAGUGGUUUGAGUUUUGAACUACAAAUCUGGAGACCAGGGUUCAGUUCCAUGGUUGUCC
This is a non-coding RNA of Phrynosoma platyrhinos (Desert horned lizard), 71 nucleotides long. Lineage: Eukaryota; Metazoa; Chordata; Lepidosauria; Squamata; Phrynosomatidae. The record is from the annotation of a GenBank genome assembly.